CGCCUGUUUAUCAAAAACAUGUCCUUUAGUUAUUUAUGUAUAGGUUUGGCCUGCUCUAUGAAAUUUUAAAUGGCCGCGGUAUUAUAACUGUGCUAAGGUAGCAUAAUAAAUUGUCUUUUAAUUGAAGACUUGUAUGAAAGGUUGGACGAAGAUAUUUCUUUCUUUGAUUUAAUAAUUAGAAUCUAAUUUCUUAGUUAAAAAGCUAAGAUGUUAAAGAGGGACGAGAAGACCCCAUAGAUUUUUAUUUAUUAAAUAUUUGAUUUUGUAGUUAAUUAUUUUUUUAAAUAGUAAAAUAAGUUUAAUUGGGGUGAUUAUAGAAUUAUUUUAACUUCUAUUCUAUUUUUCAUUUAUAUAUGUUUUUUUGAUCCAUUUAUUAUGAUUAUAAGAUUAAAAUACCUUGGGGAUAACAGCGUUAUUUUUUUAAAGAGUUCUUAUCGAUGAAGGAGUUUGCGACCUCGAUGUUGGAUUAAAGUAAAUUUUAGGUGUAGAAGCUUAGAUUUUAGGUCUGUUCGACCUUUUAAACUUUACAUGAUCUGAGUUCAAACCGGAG
This 550-nucleotide ribosomal RNA is filed under the name Saica sp. CW-2009. RNAcentral's name for it is "partial 16S ribosomal RNA". It matches the Rfam family "Bacterial large subunit ribosomal RNA", at positions 1797 to 2621 of the family's 2925-position model. Lineage: Eukaryota; Metazoa; Arthropoda; Insecta; Hemiptera; Reduviidae. The record is from RNAcentral.